AUUGAACGCUGGCGGCAUGCUUUACACAUGCAAGUCGAACGGUAACAGGCCGCAAGGUGCUGACGAGUGGCGAACGGGUGAGUAAUGCAUCGGAACGUGCCCAGUCGGGGGGGAUAACGCAGCGAAAGCUGUGCUAAUACCGCAUACGAUCUAUGGAUGAAAGCGGGGGACCGUAAGGCCUCGCGCGAUUGGAACGGCCGAUGUCAGAUUAGGUAGUUGGUGGGGUAAAGGCUCACCAAGCCAACGAUCUGUAGCUGGUCUGAGAGGACGACCAGCCACACUGGGACUGAGACACGGCCCAGACUCCCACGGGAGGCAGCAGUGGGGAAUUUUGGACAAUGGGCGCAAGCCUGAUCCAGCAAUGCCGCGUGCAGGAAGAAGGCCUUCGGGUUGUAAACUGCUUUUGUACGGAACGAAAAGGUUUGGUUUAAUACCCUGGGCCGAUGACGGUACCGUAAGAAUAAGCACCGGCUAACUACGUGCCAGCCGCCGCGGUAA
This 498-nucleotide ribosomal RNA is filed under the name uncultured bacterium. RNAcentral describes it as "partial 16S ribosomal RNA". It matches the Rfam family "Bacterial small subunit ribosomal RNA", at positions 30 to 523 of the family's 1533-position model. The record is from RNAcentral.